This 2650-nucleotide unclassified non-coding RNA is filed under the name Leishmania donovani. RNAcentral describes it as "gene:LdHU3.36.5160(CDS-product:Protein_of_unknown _function_(DUF1619)_putative)". Lineage: Eukaryota; Euglenozoa; Kinetoplastea; Trypanosomatida; Trypanosomatidae. The record is from RNAcentral.
GAUUCGCGUGCCCGUGAUGUUGCAAGGGCUCCUGUGUGUGCUGCUUCUAACCACCUCUGCAUUUGCCUAUCCAAUCGUAGUGGUACCGGUGGACUGGGCUAACGUCCCAAACAGCACGCCAGAUGCUCGUAAUUUGAACUCCCCUUAUUUAGGGGAGUGUGUUUGCGAUGUUACUCGAGGUAUUUGUGAUUCGUUCUGUUGUUGCGAUGAGGACUGCGAUGCCAGUGCUCGAGCAGCGUUCUUCUACUGCCUCCCUGAAAAGUACAGCUCUCCAUAUUUAGAUUAUUGCUACCCGAAGGACCGAGCCACUUCUCUGAAGCGAAUCAACGGAAAGGAUGCAACUUACAUAGAAAAGAAAUCGCAAGGCUACAACGCUGUGUGCGUUAUUAGGACAAAUCAUCCCAGUGAGCUCUACCGAUAUUUCAGAGUGCCUACAGAUGUUCGACAGCCUUUGCUUCCCACCGCGCCCAUCGAACCGGUUACCGUAAGCCAGCCAUACGCGGCAGGCGAUCCUUUGACAACGGCGAAGUACGUGGUCAUCAGCGGAAGCCCUUCAUAUCGCCGUGUAGCUCCAUUCCAACUGCCGACCACUAUGAGCGACGGCUCGUGCAGCGCGCUCGGGCGAAAUGUCGGUUUUUUGGAUUCCAUCAAAGGCACCUCAUGUACGUUGAAUGGCGCUCAAAUAUGCUUGCUGUUUCCAGUAGCAAAGUACCAGAACCUCUUUCUACAGUCUACGCUGGGGUACAACAGCAGUGCUCCUGAAUUUGUGCCCGUGACGCUGAAUCUUCACGACGCAUCCGGCGCGCUACUGGACACUCUGGGCCCCACCGUUGUCCCCACGCCCAGCACUUACGCAACAAUUUCUGACGGUAAAACGUGCAACAAUGCGGUUGUUGACCUUCACGCUCAUUUUUCUUACUCUUCGAAUGAAAGCGGGAAACUGAUAGAGGCAGCCCUUAACGUCACUCUGAGUAGCGUUGGGCUAAUGCAGUACGUUGCAUUAUCUUUUGAAGCCGCCUUCACCGGCGAAAAUGCAACUGUGCCGAGCAAUAUUUUUGCAGCAACUCCUGGGUAUCUCUCUGGUGACAAGAUUCGUUCUGGUACUUUAGUCACCCACGGCGGGAAGAGUGCUAUCCUGGAGCGAGAAAGUGGAUUCGCAGUGCCAGCUGGUGGCAGGCUGUGCGGCAGCAAUCAGUGGAGGCGAGCUAGUUUUCUCCACUCGAUCAUCAGCAGUGGGUGUCUAAUUUUGAUGAACGAGUCCGACCUGCAAGACAUUUGUAGCGUUGGGACUGGUCACCUCCUUGCUGCCCUGAUCAACGUCACUGUCGAUGGUGAACCCACCAUUCUGGAUCAAAUAGGUGUUACUAAUGAUGCUCUUGCAAACGACACAACGAGCUGGAUUCCUAUCACUGGGCUAUCAAAUGCUCUAACUUCCUCCAGUGGUACUUACAAUGCGUACACUCGCCAGUGCAGCAACAUUACGGUGGGCCUACAUUACCAGUUUGUGGUUGCGCGUGCAGGUGCCGAGUAUAAUCCGCAAGACAUCAUCGUCGGCGCGUUCGCUUCGCCCAUUGUUGGAACAUUUCAAAUCUGGAAUGAGACGAAUUUCGACGGAAACGCACUUUCAUAUCAGCAGUUCACCUUCAAGGUGACCUUCUCACGAUAUGACUCCAACUCACAGGCAACUAUUAUGCGCAGGAUUGUCGCGCCCCCAAUUCUGCCGCCUCUCGACGACAGUAUCUUCUACCCGUUCCACCGUUCACCUCCGGUGUGACGUGAAUUUGUCCUCAUAGAAUCAUUUCCUUUUCGCUGCAGGCUACCGCGAAUGAAAAGCUAGCCAGGCUUGGUACUUUCAUGUUUUACACAUGCUUUGUAUGCGACUCACAGACAAAAGCAGUGCGCUGAUUUUCAGCAACAAGUAGAGACACGACUUUCCACUAAUUACUGUGGCAAAAGAAAGGCGCUGCCUUUAUUCGACAAACCGAUACUUUUUUGUUCUUCGUGUCCGUACUCUGCCAUAGAAAGUGAGCUCAAGUUCACCCUAUCCCCAGCCUGGCAUAGGCCCCCACCAGCGUGGUCCAGAGCAGCCGUGUACACAGGUGUUACAGCAACGCACCGGCCCAGUUAUCAAAGCACGGCGGCUGCCUCACAGUCUACCCAGGCCGCCCCGCGGGUCGCCUCAGAGCCGCUCCCCAAUCAUGCCGGUCGCCACCUGGUGCAUCACCCUCGGCGUGGCUCAGGCUCCCCGCACCAGUGGGCAGUGAGGGCCGGGUGGGAUGCGUCGGAAUCACGAUGCCACCUCGCCUGUCACAUGAAUGGCCCGAGCAUAUUGGCUGCCGCGGGCCGCUCCAACGCAACGCCAUCCAGGACCUGACUGCCGGCGCCAGUAGCGAUGAAUUGCACUGACUUCCCCUCGCCGUAGGUGCUUGGCCCUUUCACCACGAGAAGUGGCUCGGCACUUCGCAGGGGAUCGAAAGGGGAGGGGGCUGCUUGACUUCCUUCCACACAGAAUGGGGGCGCUGAACCCUGGAUACCAUACUGAGGUGUCUCCCACCAUCAGGGAUGCAACAAUCGAAUAGGAGAAAAUGUGCGAAUACUGGCUGAUUUUACUCAAGCGACUUAUCCUUCUGCUUCUUUUCCAUGCUCUCAG